Molecule: ribosomal RNA, 208 nt
Filed under: uncultured bacterium
Lineage: Bacteria
Description: partial 16S ribosomal RNA
Rfam family: Bacterial small subunit ribosomal RNA
Source: RNAcentral
CUCGUAGGCGGUUGAGUAAGUCGGGUGUGAAAACUCUGGGCUUAACCCAGAGCCGCCACCCGAUACUGCUCUGACUUGAGUUCGGUAGGGGAGCAGGGAAUUCCUAGUGUAGCGGUGAAAUGCGCAGAUAUUAGGAGGAACACCGGUGGCGAAGGCGCUGCUCUGGGCCGAUACUGACGCUGAGGAGCGAAAGCGUGGGUAGCAAACA